Long non-coding RNA from Meriones unguiculatus (Mongolian gerbil), 2170 nucleotides. RefSeq lists it as uncharacterized. The transcript is spliced from 3 exons. The record is from RefSeq and is a predicted model, not a curated record. Lineage: Eukaryota; Metazoa; Chordata; Mammalia; Rodentia; Muridae.
AGGGUGAGCGGCUGCUGUGCUCAAGGCAAACACUUAGUAACCACAACAAACCCAUCACUCGGGCACCCGUCUACAUGGAAACGGGAUGACAACAACCAAGCAAGCCCUCUUUCAGCGUCUACACAGUCAGGCCAUGGGAAGAUGGGAUCACCCGCUCACCUUGCUGCUCUUGGCCCAACAAAUCGUGAUGCACAGAGAUCUGGAGACUGUCAGCUUUCCUCUGUGAAUGUCUCUACCCAGGAAGACACUGUUUCUCCAACCAGGAAGCCUUCUGGAGGCAGACCCUUGGAGCAGCAGAAGCGAAAAAUCUUCAUGGCAUACCUUAAAGAAAGAAAGCCAAAAGAGCUGGGCGCAGUGGCACGUGUCUGUAAUCCCAGCCGAGGCCAGCAGAUCUCUGUGAGUUUGAGGCCAGAACUCAAAGCCAGUCCAGGAGAGCCAUGGCUACACAGAGAAACCUUGUCUUGAAAAACAUUUUAAAGAAGUCCAGCAGUGACAUGGGAGGGGUUCUUGCAACUGACAAAUUUAAACCAACCUCUCCUCACCCGUGCUGUGGCCUUGGCUGAACAAUACACUGUAGCAUAAGCCCCUUUCUACACUAUCUGCCUCCUGUGCACCCCACACAUUCAGGCCCAGGCCGCUGCAACUUCUUUAUGCAGGAAGGCAAGCCCACUGACAACCACCCAGCUUCUAGAAUGUUCCUGUUGCCAGGCCUUGGUAACAUGGUCGUCAAAUUUAGUUAGUCCAUGUAGCGAACUCCAUGUGCUAGUGCUCAUUAACAAUCUCAGGCUCUGGAUCCUAAGAAGCGAUUCCUGCCCUUACUCCACUGAGGUCCAGGAUUCCUGGUUCUUUCGCUUGGGGAGAUUGUUGUUGUUUUUCUCACCAGAUAGGCACUGGUUGAAAAGCAGUAAAAUACUAAAAUGCAGUGUAUCUCCCACUGACAGCUGCAGUGGAAGAAAAGCUAAAUGCAGUGCUUCUUGGGUACGCACCCACGGGUACCCAGUCAAAGCCUCUGAUGGUUUUAGGGUAAAACAUGGAAGCACAGACCUUGGGGGUACCCAGUCAAAGCCUCUGAUGGUUUUAGGGUAAAACAUGGAAGCACAGACCUUGGGGUUCAGGGUGGUGGGAAAGGCUGGAAGCGCCCUUCAUUUUCGAGCCCUCUCUUUGGUUUCAUGUGGUAAUUCAUGUGGUUUAGUUAGAAACUUCUGAGAUGGAAAUGUGCAGGGCCUAGAGCACUCAAGUUUCAAGGGCCAGGAAAAAUUGUGCUGAAUGCCUCUUGCAGAAGGGGUGUAAUUUGAUUACAGUUUUGAGAGUCAGGGCAUUUAUGGAAAUCUCUGCAUCUCAUCUGAAGACAAGAAUGCAGACUUUUUUAAUGGAAAUAACUGUGAAGGUCAUGCGCCAUUAGAUUGUUGAGAAAUUCAAAACAAUAAAACACUUCCCUUAGAGGUGCAUUUUCAUCAUAGAUAUACAUAUAUGUGUAUGUAUUAUGUGAUUGUAUAUGCACAUGUACACGCAUACAUCAAACCACACACACACACACACACACACCAGAGCGGAACAAUUAGUGCAAAGAUAAAAAUAAAAUCAAGUUUGUGUGUAUGUGUGUGUGUGUAUGUAUAUAUGUUUAAAACUAUCUGAGUAGUCAUUGACAACACCAUUGAUUUAGGGGGGAAAAAUCAACAUACAAGGGAAAAAAGAAAAAAGAAAAAUCUUUUGAGGGAGAAAAAAAAAACUAAAUGAAAUUUACCAGGAAAAGGUUCGUCUCCCCCCCCCCCCACCAAGACUUCUGGAGCAGUUUGGAUGGAGGGGUCUUUUCUGCAGGCUCCUUACACACACACCCCAUCCCACAGCUCUGUAAAACACACUUAGCAGUCAGCCUGACACCAGCUUUGCAAGUUCAAAUUCCUUUGCUAGAUAUAGAAUUCCAGAGGAAAAGCACUGUGUGUGUAUGUGUGUGUGUAUGUGUGGCUUGUGUGCAAGUAUAAAGGCGCAAGCACUGUGCAGAGGAGACAGUAAGGGACAAGGAUGCCAGGCGAUGCUUAUCACUCUCUGCCUUGGUACCCUGGACAGAAUGUCAAGGCAGGCAGUUGGUCAGAAAACCCUAGGCAUCCUCCCUUCUCUGCCCCCACAGAGCCAGGCUUACUGGUGGGCGCGGGCACAAUCCCCCCCAUCU